GCUGCCCAUAUUUUAUAAACCAGAACUUUGCUGUGAGAACUGAAAUGCUUCAGACAAGCAGUGGAAUCAAGAUGCAGUCUCAGACUCAGGUCUUCAUAUUCCUGCUCCUCUGGAUGUCUGGUGCUGAGGGGAACAUUGUGAUGACCCAGUCUCCCGAAUUCAUCUCCACAUCUAUAGGAGACAGGAUCACCCUAAGCUGCAAGUCCAGUCAGAGUGUGAAUAAGUAUAUAGCUUGGUACCAACAGAAAUCUGGGCAGCCCCCUAAACCACUAAUCUACUAUGUAUCCACUCGGCACACUGGGGUCCCUGAUCGCUUCACAGGGAGUGGAUCUGGGACAGAUUUCACUCUCAGCAUCAGCAAUGUGCAGGCUGAAGACCUGGCAAUUUAUUACUGUCAGCACUAUGACAAUACUCCUCCCACAGUGCUUCAGCCUCCAACACAAACCUCCUUGAGAGUUUCACCAGCUGCCUGUACCACAAACACCCCUGGGCCUGCACACUUCCCCCUUCUGCCUGAGAUCUGCUAUGCAUGA
Non-coding RNA from Meriones unguiculatus (Mongolian gerbil), 533 nucleotides. The record is from the annotation of a RefSeq genome assembly. NCBI's taxonomy places the organism in Eukaryota, Metazoa, Chordata, Mammalia, Rodentia, Muridae.